Molecule: ribosomal RNA, 450 nt
Filed under: uncultured bacterium
Lineage: Bacteria
Description: partial 16S ribosomal RNA
Rfam family: Bacterial small subunit ribosomal RNA
Source: RNAcentral
GUGGGGAAUAUUGGACAAUGGGCGAAAGCCUGAUCCAGCCAUGCCGCGUGUGUGAAGAAGGUCUUCGGAUUGUAAAGCACUUUAAGUUGGGAGGAAGGGCAGUAAGUUAAUACCUUGCUGUUUUGACGUUACCGACAGAAUAAGCACCGGCUAACUUCGUGCCAGCAGCCGCGGUAAUACGAAGGGUGCAAGCGUUAAUCGGAAUUACUGGGCGUAAAGCGCGCGUAGGUGGUUUUGUAAGUUGGAGGUGAAAUCCGCGGGCUCAACCUGGGAACUGCCUCCAAAACUGCAUGACUAGAGUACGGUAGAGGGUAGUGGAAUUUCCUGUGUAGCGGUGAAAUGCGUAGAUAUAGGAAGGAACACCAGUGGCGAAGGCGACUACCUGGACUGAUACUGACACUGAGGUGCGAAAGCGUGGGGAGCAAACAGGAUUAGAUACCCGGGUAGUCC